This 2821-nucleotide long non-coding RNA is filed under the name Fukomys damarensis (Damara mole-rat). RNAcentral describes it as "lncRNA (ENSFDAG00000021954.1)". The record is from RNAcentral. Lineage: Eukaryota; Metazoa; Chordata; Mammalia; Rodentia; Bathyergidae.
AUGUGUACGAGUGUCUCCGCCGCUGUCUCAGUGCUCUGGGCUUCGGCGACGUCCGGAGCGAGUUCGAGGGUCACCUCCAGAAACUCGCAGAAACUGGAAGAGGGUGAUGGGAGGACACACACACCUCCUUCCUCGGAAGGACUUGGAAGACUUUGCAUCUCCCCUCCCCCACUUUUCCGCCUGGCUCUUCUUUUGUUGUCAAGUCCUUUUGAUAAAUGGUGGGACCGGGAGCCUGGAGUCCGCCUGUGCCGCUCGGGGCGGGGGCCGAGGCUGGAGGCCGGGUUUCGACUAGCGGGCACCGGGAGGGGAGCUGGGUGCGCGCGGGGGUCUGGACUGCCCUCGAGAGCUCGUCCUGUCCUCUCGAGCUACUCCAUUCCCUUUCCCUUUCUGUCUCCCACCCUCAAGGGUACCGAGAACUUUGUGGGAAUCCACGGAUUUCUCUGGCUGUCGUUUGUGCUGAAUUUAUCCAAAUUUGAAUUUAUUCAAAGCCAGCAAUCAGGCAUCCAGCAGAACCAGCUUUCUACUGGCAAGUACUGUACACUACGCCUCGCCUGGCCAGGGGUGAGGGGGUGGCUCUUGGGGCACAGGGGUGGCGAGUAUCAUCUCCGAGGUCAGAUGUACCAAAGGUGCCCUCAGGCCCAGCAGUCUCUCGCUGCCCAGCAGUGUCUGGCCGCCCCUGCUUUGCCUAACACCCAAAACAAGCCAGGCCAAGUCCGCUCUCAGCGAAAACUGAAAGGAAACUCUACUGCAGGCGUAGCCCGAAGUUUCUUUGAAGCAAGUUUGCAACUGAGAUUAUUGACGGCUUUGGGAGGACAGCGGGCUCAUGUGAGCGCUCUCCCGGUGGGGUGGGGUCUAAGAAGGGCACCGGGUGCCCUGUCGUGGCCCUAGGUGAAAACACUAGGGAAGCCCGCCGCUCCUUCGAAACUCUUCGGCUCUGGAUGGUAAAAAGAAAGAAAGUUUCCAAGCUACCACGGACAACCUGCAUGGAUCUCGCUAGGGGGGCAACGGGAGGGGGCUGGCUUUGGAAAAGUUGCUGAAAGCCCUGCUCAGAAACGUCACCCUAUGAAACUCAAAAAAACUUAGGACCAGUUUGCCUUCCUUGAGACAGAGUGGUCAGGAAUCAGGCUGGGCAGCCCUCUGCCCACUUCUCAACCCUCACCUCUAGCAAGAGGUCAAAGAACCACCACCGCCAGCGUUGCAAACUUUCAGCUCUGCGCUGCCAACCGCGAACAAGGCCUGGACACAGAGGGAUGGGAGAGACCACCCCCGGCAGGAUGGGAGGAUGAGCGCGGUUCCCCCUAGUUUGUUCCGGGCCCCAGAGUCCAUCCCCCAACCCUAGGCAUUCGGCGCUUUUCCCGGGAGCUGCGGAUUGGGGAGCCUGGUGAGGGGCGCAAAGUGCACGCGCGGACUGGCGCGGGGGCGGCUGCUCGUCAGGCUGCUCGUCUCGCCGCGGGGCCUGUCGCCGGGCUGGCCGCGGCGGGUGAGUGAUGAGGGCAGAGAAGGGCGCCCAUAAAUCGUGGGUGUCAGGGCGAAAAACUCUCUUUAUUGUCUGCGUGAUGGAUGGGCCCGGGGACGAGACACCAAAUACUUCGUAUCGCCUUUAAAUGGGAACACAUUUUCCGCGGCCAUAAUUCAUGUUUUUUAAAUAGAAAGUUUGAAAUGUUGCCUAUAUUUCACCGGCCCUGACAUAUUUAUGAAUCGCUCCUUGCAUGCAAAUAUCAUUAUUUAAAGUGCCAGGGAGAGCACGGGGGAGGGGGUAAGGCGCGGCCCCGGGGCGUAGGGGUGGUGAACCGGGGAGAUGUCGGUGGAGGGGGGACAUCUCCCUAAAGGGAAGAGGAUGGAGCGUGGGGGAAAGCCGUGUUUGGAAGCUGAGCGCACCCUGGGGCUUCUCUUCUGCCGCCAGACAGUGCGCUGCCACAGUAGGGUGGUGGGGAGCGCGGUUUGGGGUGCAAAACAAGCCCCAGUCUCCUGCCCCUAGACCAGAAGAUAUUUUGGGUCUCUCUCCAGAGGACUGGAUCCAAACUGAAGCCACCUUUUCCAAGAAGUAAAAAAAAAAAAAAAAAAAAAAAAAAAAAAAAGAAUAAUUUAACAAACGCAAAUAAUAACCCAACAUCUUUCAUGUUCUUUGCUAUUGCAUUGAUUUUAUUGAUUUUCAUUCUGCAAAACUGGGAUUGUGCGCACCCGGACCAGGCGGCAGCCAGAAACCAGUCACCGCAGGGGGUAGGUGGGGGGGAUAAGCCUCGGGUACCACCGCCCCAUCCGCCCCCACCCAGCCGCCUCAACGUCUCCCAGGCACAAUGGAGAUUGCGCAAGACGCGGGACACAGAUGACCCGGCCCCCCAGCUCCGGGGCUUUAGUCCCUCCCCUUCUUUGCCCCAGUGCACCGCAGAGCUUCCAGGGUCCGCAGCUACCCUCCCGGACCCCCUACGGUCAGAAUGAUCGCUUUGGAAAAAAAGCCAAGCCCAGGCCGUCGCUUAUUCCCAGUCAUCCUGCCCUGGAAGCGCCUACACCUGCGCCCUUACUUGCCAAGACUUUACCUGUGCGGUCCCGAGCCGCGCCUGCGGCCGCGCAGAUUACACAAAAAUGGUAGGGAGGGUGGGAGAGUGGGUGGGUCAGAGAGCAACACCCGAGAGGGCCAGAGGCGCGGACCCAGGUGAGUCAGUGUGGACCCGAUGCUGGGGCCCUGGCCCAACCGGUUAGCGGAGCCGAAUUGCACGGGGAAGAUCCGGCUCGAGGAAGGACGAAGGCAACAAGGCUGGGGAAGUAGGGGCGGUCCCAGAGGCACUUCCGCUGGAGGUGGGGCUGCGGACUGAACCGCUGA